RNAcentral lists this long non-coding RNA (1076 nucleotides) under Cervus hanglu yarkandensis (Yarkand deer). RNAcentral describes it as "lncRNA (ENSCHYG00000018505.1)". Lineage: Eukaryota; Metazoa; Chordata; Mammalia; Artiodactyla; Cervidae. The record is from RNAcentral.
GCUUCAUACAUGAGAAAUAUUUCUUUUGAUCAGAGUAGUUUGCAAGUGCGUGGGUCAAAUUUAAGCAUCGAGUUUUUAACGAGUGGCUCCUGUGUGUGAAGUGCUACAUGAGCUAGCUCUGGGGUAGACAGGCAGAACAGGGCACCAAACAUUAAAAUGGGCACGGGAAAGAUGUUUAAUGAUGGUUCAAGGUGGACACUAGGAGGAGCAUGAGAAAGCAGCACACGCAGGUUGCCCUCACUUAGUGUCUGCUGAGCACAGCCUUCAAGUCGUGGGAGACGGGUGUCCUGAGGCCUGAUGGCCUGUGUGCAGCCCCCAGCAUGUUCAGGAGCUCAGGGCUUCCCAGUUUGCACCAGCCCUGAUGAUCCCCAGGCCACUGAGGAAGGGCCACACAGUACACCAACCAGUCCAUGUCUGCCGGAUAUGCUUCUAGAGUGCCACUAAAACCUCUUCUGAAGAAAAGACUCUGCAGAGCAAAGAGGAAAAGAGGCACAGGAAUUCCCAGGCAAGAAAUACAGAUAGUAAAAGCUGUUGCACGGAGCUCCUGGAAGGCUGGUGAGCAGAGCAAAUGGACAAGAGAAGCUAUUCACAUCUUCCAAACUCUGAGACAAGACAUCCUGGGACAAAUCACUGUGAGGACUGCAGCCAGUUAUGGCAGGAGGUCCCGUAUCACUGAAUCUGGAGCUGGAGGGGUCCAGGAAACACCAGCAGUCAUUUUGCCGGAGAUAUUGAUCAGCCAGAGAAUACUCGUCUGUGAACUGGGUAAAUCCAGGGGCAGGACUGGAGGCAGGUUUACCUGAAGUAAGCAACAGUGUCCGGUGGAAUGAGGAGCCUAACAUUCUAGGUGACAAUUUUUACAUCCAAUUCACUGGAAAUAUGGUUGAGUUUCUUGGUAGGAAAAUUAAUUUUUUUAGCACUAGGGCCUCUGAACCAGCAGAGUUCCAAGAAUGAGAAGUAAACAUUUAAAAAGUCCAGCAUUGGGUGAAAUACUAAGGGUUCCUUUCCUAUUUCUGCACUUUGGUUGGUGGAAUUGUUUUCCAACUGUGGAAGAAACACUAUAUAUUGGUCACUCGUUC